This is a long non-coding RNA of Aquila chrysaetos chrysaetos, 386 nucleotides long. RefSeq lists it as uncharacterized. The transcript is spliced from 3 exons. Lineage: Eukaryota; Metazoa; Chordata; Aves; Accipitriformes; Accipitridae. The record is from RefSeq and is a predicted model, not a curated record.
AGUCACCCAGGUUGCCAGUGGUCAGACCUGCCCUUUUGCUACCACUGGGCUCCUCUUAGUAGUGGUGGGGAGCUCUGCUUGUUCCUGGGAGAACUCAGUAUGUUACAGAAGACCCACAUUGCUGCUAGCCUGUGGGAUCUGAGGAACAAACAUGGUGCAGGUGACACAAAGACACAAGCAGCAGCUUCAGUCCUGCAGUGGGGCUCCUGUUCCCGGGUCUGGAGAGUGGCAUUAAGAGGGCACUUCAGUUUACAGGAGGCAGCCCAGCUGAUGGGUGCAUCUGCCUUUGCCAAACCUCCGGACUUUUCAGAGCACAAAAUGCCCGUUACCCCUCUCACUUCGCUCUCCAAAAGGCUCUAGGCGUCCAGUGCCCGCCGCUAACCCUG